AGCAGCCGCGGUAAUUCCAGCUCCAAUAGCGUAUAUUAAAGUUGUUGCAGUUAAAAAGCUCGUAGUUGAAUUUCGGGAUCAAUAUGUUGGUCGUGCCUUGGUACGUACUGGCAUUAUCGAUUCCUACCUUCUGAAGAACCUCGAUGUCAUUAAUUUGGUGUCUUGGGGAAUCAGGACUGUUACUUUGAAAAAAUUAGAGUGUUUAAAGCAGGCUCGCGCUUGAAUACAUUAGCAUGGAAUAAUGAAAUAGGACGUUUGAUUCUAUUUUGUUGGUUUCUAGGAUCGACGUAAUGAUUAAUAGGGAUAGUUGGGGGCAUUAGUAUUCAAUUGUCAGAGGUGAAAUUCUUGGAUUUAUUGAAGACUAACUACUGCGAAAGCAUUUGCCAAGGAUGUUUUCAUUAAUCAAGAACGAAAGUUAGGGGAUCGAAGACGAUCAGAUACCGUCGUAGUCUUAACCAUAAACUAUGCCGACUAGGGAUCGGAUGAUGUUAAUUUUUAAUGACUCAUUCGG
RNAcentral lists this ribosomal RNA (511 nucleotides) under uncultured Glomus. RNAcentral describes it as "SSU rRNA". It matches the Rfam family "Eukaryotic small subunit ribosomal RNA", at positions 569 to 1083 of the family's 1831-position model. The record is from RNAcentral. Lineage: Eukaryota; Fungi; Glomeromycota; Glomeromycetes; Glomerales; Glomeraceae.